GCGUAAUAGCUCACUGGUCGAGUCGGCCUGCGCGGAAGAUGUAACGGGGCUAAACCAUGCACCGAAGCUGCGGCAGCGACACUGUGUGUUGUUGGGUAGGGGAGCGUUCUGUAAGCCUGCGAAGGUGGCCUGUGAGGGUUGCUGGAGGUAUCAGAAGUGCGAAUGCUGACAUAAGUAACGAUAAAGCGGGUGAAAAGCCCGCUCGCCGGAAGACCAA
RNAcentral lists this ribosomal RNA (217 nucleotides) under Salmonella enterica subsp. enterica serovar Anatum. Its description in RNAcentral is "partial 23S ribosomal RNA". It matches the Rfam family "Bacterial large subunit ribosomal RNA", at positions 1132 to 1348 of the family's 2925-position model. Lineage: Bacteria; Pseudomonadati; Pseudomonadota; Gammaproteobacteria; Enterobacterales; Enterobacteriaceae. The record is from RNAcentral.